GCCCGGCUGGCUCAGUUGGUAGAGCAUGAGACUCUUGAUCUUGGAGUCGUGAGUUCAAGCCCCAUGUUGGGCA
Molecule: transfer RNA, 73 nt
Filed under: Canis lupus familiaris (dog)
Lineage: Eukaryota; Metazoa; Chordata; Mammalia; Carnivora; Canidae
Rfam family: tRNA
About the family: Transfer RNA (tRNA) molecules are approximately 80 nucleotides in length.
Source: Rfam by way of RNAcentral